Molecule: ribosomal RNA, 253 nt
Filed under: uncultured bacterium
Lineage: Bacteria
Also listed under: 1 other name
Description: partial 16S ribosomal RNA
Rfam family: Bacterial small subunit ribosomal RNA
Source: RNAcentral
UACGUAGGGGGCAAGCGUUACCCGGAUUUACUGGGCGUAAAGGGGGCGUAGGCGGCCUGGUGUGUCGGAUGUGAAAUCCCACGGCUCAACCGUGGGGCCGCAUCCGAAACUACCAGGCUUGGGGGCGGUAGAGGGAGACGGAACUGCCGGUGUAGGGGUGAAAUCCGUAGAUAUCGGCAGGAACGCCGGUGGGGAAGCCGGUCUCCUGGGCCGACCCCGACGCUGAGGCCCGAAAGCCAGGGGAGCAAACCGG